This 76-nucleotide transfer RNA is filed under the name Bacillus toyonensis. RNAcentral's name for it is "tRNA-Trp". It matches the Rfam family "tRNA". Rfam says of the family: Transfer RNA (tRNA) molecules are approximately 80 nucleotides in length. Their secondary structure includes four short double-helical elements and three loops (D, anti-codon, and T loops). Lineage: Bacteria; Bacillati; Bacillota; Bacilli; Caryophanales; Bacillaceae. The record is from RNAcentral.
AUGUCCUUAGUGUAAUUUGGCAACACAGUAGUCUCCAAAACUACUAUUUUAGGUUCGAGUCCUAAAGGACAUGCCA